Molecule: ribosomal RNA, 995 nt
Filed under: uncultured Verrucomicrobiota bacterium
Lineage: Bacteria; Pseudomonadati; Verrucomicrobiota
Description: bacterial SSU rRNA
Rfam family: Bacterial small subunit ribosomal RNA
Source: RNAcentral
UUUCUCAAUGGGGGAAACCCUGAAGGAGCGACGCCGCGUGGGGGAUGAAUGGCUUCGGCCCGUAAACCCCUGUCAUUUGCGAUCAAACCUUACGACCUAAUACGUCGUAAGCUGAUAGUAGCGGAAGAGGAAGGGACGGCUAACUCUGUGCCAGCAGCCGCGGUAAUACAGAGGUCCCAAGCGUUGUUCGGAUUCACUGGGCGUAAAGGGUGCGUAGGCGGUCGGGUAAGUCUGACGUGAAAUCUUCAAGCUCAACUUGGAAAACUGCGUCGGAUAACUACUCGGCUCGAGGAAUGGAGGGGAGACUGGAAAUACUUGGUGUAGCAGUGAAAUGCGUAGAUAUCAGGUGGAACACAAGUGGCGAAGGCGAGUCUCUGGACAUUUCGUGACGCUGAGGCACGAAAGCCAGGGGAGCAGACGGGAUUAUAUACCCCGGUAGUCCUGGCCCUAAACGGUGCACGCUUUGCUGUAAGAGGAAUCGACCCCUUUAUGUGGCGAACUAAGCGCGUUAAACGUGCCGCCUGGGAAGUACGGCCGCAAGUUAAAACUCAAAGAAAAUUCGACGGGGGCCUGCACAAGCGGUGGAGUAUGUGGCUUAAUUCGAUGCAACGCGAAAGAACCUUACCUGGCCCUUGACAUGCAACAUAGUAGAAGGGUGAAAGCCUGACGAGGUAGCAAUACCAGUGUGCACAGGUGCUGCAUGGCUGUCGUCAGCUCGUGUCGUGAGAUGUUGGGUUAAGUCCCGCAACGAGCGCAACCCCUGUGUCCUGUUGCCAACCCCUGAACCGGGAGCACUCCUGGACAGACUGCCUCGCAUCAACGAGGAGGAAGGUGGGGAUGACGUCAAGUCAGUAUGGCCCUUACGGCCAGGGCUGCACACGUACUACAAUGCCCGGCACAAAGGGAAGCAAGACCGUCAGGUGGAGCAAAUCCCACAAAACCGGGCCCAGUUCAGAUUGUCGUCUGCAACUCGACGGCAUGAAGCUGGAAUCGCU